GGGUUGUGAGGUUAAGCGACUAAGCGUACACGGUGGAUGCCCUGGCAGUCAGAGGCGAUGAAGGGCGUGCUAAUCUGCGAUAAGCGCCGGUAAGGUGAUAUGAACCGUUAUAACCGGCGAUACCCGAAUGGGGAAACCCAGUGUGAUUCGUCACACUAUCAUUAACUGAAUCCAUAGGUUAAUGAGGCGAACCGGGGGAACUGAAACAUCUAAGUACCCCGAGGAAAAGAAAUCAACCGAGAUUCCCCCAGUAGCGGCGAGCGAACGGGGAGGAGCCCAGAGCCUGAAUCAGCAUGUGUGUUAGUGGAAGCGUCUGGAAAGGCGCGCGAUACAGGGUGACAGCCCCGUACACAAAAGCGCAUGUGCUGUGAGCUCGAUGAGUAGGGCGGGACACGUGGUAUCCUGUCUGAAUAUGGGGGGACCAUCCUCCAAGGCUAAAUACUCCUGACUGACCGAUAGUGAACCAGUACCGUGAGGGAAAGGCGAAAAGAACCCCGGCGAGGGGAGUGAAAAAGAACCUGAAACCGUGUACGUACAAGCAGUGGGAGCACAGGUUUACCUGUGUGACUGCGUACCUUUUGUAUAAUGGGUCAGCGACUUAUAUUCUGUAGCAAGGUUAACCGAAUAGGGGAGCCGGAGGGAAACCGAGUCUUAACCGGGCGUUAAGUUGCAGGGUAUAGACCCGAAACCCGGUGAUCUAGCCAUGGGCAGGUUGAAGGUUGGGUAACACUAACUGGAGGACCGAACCGACUAAUGUUGAAAAAUUAGCGGAUGACCUGUGGCUGGGGGUGAAAGGCCAAUCAAACCGGGAGAUAGCUGGUUCUCCCCGAAAGCUAUUUAGGUAGCGCCUCGUGAAUUCAUCUCCGGGGGUAGAGCACUGUUUCGGCUAGGGGGCCAUCCCGGCUUACCAACCCGAUGCAAACUGCGAAUACCGGAGAAUGUUAUCACGGGAGACACACGGCGGGUGCUAACGUCCGUCGUGAAGAGGGAAACAACCCAGACCGCCAGCUAAGGUCCCAAAGUCAUGGUUAAGUGGGAAACGAUGUGGGAAGGCCCAGACAGCCAGGAUGUUGGCUUAGAAGCAGCCAUCAUUUAAAGAAAGCGUAAUAGCUCACUGGUCGAGUCGGCCUGCGCGGAAGAUGUAACGGGGCUAAACCAUGCACCGAAGCUGCGGCAGCGACGCUUAUGCGUUGUUGGGUAGGGGAGCGUUCUGUAAGCCUGUGAAGGUGGCCUGUGAGGGUUGCUGGAGGUAUCAGAAGUGCGAAUGCUGACAUAAGUAACGAUAAAGCGGGUGAAAAGCCCGCUCGCCGGAAGACCAAGGGUUCCUGUCCAACGUUAAUCGGGGCAGGGUGAGUCGACCCCUAAGGCGAGGCCGAAAGGCGUAGUCGAUGGGAAACGGGUUAAUAUUCCCGUACUUGGUGUUACUGCGAAGGGGGGACGGAGAAGGCUAUGUUGGCCGGGCGACGGUUGUCCCGGUUUAAGCGUGUAGGUGUGUGUUCCAGGUAAAUCCGGUUCACUUUAACACUGAGGCGUGAUGACGAGGCACUACGGUGCUGAAGUAACAAAUGCCCUGCUUCCAGGAAAAGCCUCUAAGCAUCAGGUAACAUCAAAUCGUACCCCAAACCGACACAGGUGGUCAGGUAGAGAAUACCAAGGCGCUUGAGAGAACUCGGGUGAAGGAACUAGGCAAAAUGGUGCCGUAACUUCGGGAGAAGGCACGCUGACACGUAGGUGAAGUGAUUUACUCAUGGAGCUGAAGUCAGUCGAAGAUACCAGCUGGCUGCAACUGUUUAUUAAAAACACAGCACUGUGCAAACACGAAAGUGGACGUAUACGGUGUGACGCCUGCCCGGUGCCGGAAGGUUAAUUGAUGGGGUCAGCGCAAGCGAAGCUCCUGAUCGAAGCCCCGGUAAACGGCGGCCGUAACUAUAACGGUCCUAAGGUAGCGAAAUUCCUUGUCGGGUAAGUUCCGACCUGCACGAAUGGCGUAAUGAUGGCCAGGCUGUCUCCACCCGAGACUCAGUGAAAUUGAACUCGCUGUGAAGAUGCAGUGUACCCGCGGCAAGACGGAAAGACCCCGUGAACCUUUACUAUAGCUUGACACUGAACAUUGAGCCUUGAUGUGUAGGAUAGGUGGGAGGCUUUGAAGCGUGGACGCCAGUCUGCGUGGAGCCGACCUUGAAAUACCACCCUUUAAUGUUUGAUGUUCUAACGUGGACCCGUGAUCCGGGUUGCGGACAGUGUCUGGUGGGUAGUUUGACUGGGGCGGUCUCCUCCUAAAGAGUAACGGAGGAGCACGAAGGUUGGCUAAUCCUGGUCGGACAUCAGGAGGUUAGUGCAAUGGCAUAAGCCAGCUUGACUGCGAGCGUGACGGCGCGAGCAGGUGCGAAAGCAGGUCAUAGUGAUCCGGUGGUUCUGAAUGGAAGGGCCAUCGCUCAACGGAUAAAAGGUACUCCGGGGAUAACAGGCUGAUACCGCCCAAGAGUUCAUAUCGACGGCGGUGUUUGGCACCUCGAUGUCGGCUCAUCACAUCCUGGGGCUGAAGUAGGUCCCAAGGGUAUGGCUGUUCGCCAUUUAAAGUGGUACGCGAGCUGGGUUUAGAACGUCGUGAGACAGUUCGGUCCCUAUCUGCCGUGGGCGCUGGAGAACUGAGGGGGGCUGCUCCUAGUACGAGAGGACCGGAGUGGACGCAUCACUGGUGUUCGGGUUGUCAUGCCAAUGGCACUGCCCGGUAGCUAAAUGCGGAAGAGAUAAGUGCUGAAAGCAUCUAAGCACGAAACUUGCCCCGAGAUGAGUUCUCCCUGAGACUU
This 2810-nucleotide ribosomal RNA is filed under the name Salmonella enterica subsp. enterica serovar Dublin. Its description in RNAcentral is "bacterial LSU rRNA". It matches the Rfam family "Bacterial large subunit ribosomal RNA". Lineage: Bacteria; Pseudomonadati; Pseudomonadota; Gammaproteobacteria; Enterobacterales; Enterobacteriaceae. The record is from RNAcentral.